UACAGGUGUGAGAUACAGGUGUGAGAUACAGGUGUGAGAUACAGGUGUGAGAUACAGGUGUGAGAUACAGGUGUGAGAUACAGGUGUGAUACAGGUGUGAUACAGGUGUGAGAUACAGGUGUGAUACAGGUGAGAGACAGGUGUGAUACAGGUGUGAGACAGGUGUCAGAUACAGGUGUGAUACAGGUGUGAUACAGGUGUGAGACAGGUGUCAGAUACAGGUGUGAUACAGGUGUGAGAUACAGGUGUGAUACAGGUGUGAUACAGGUGUGAGAUACAGAUGAGAUACAGGUGUGAUACAGGUGUGAUACAGGUGUGAUACAGGUGUGAGAUACAGGUGUGUGAUACAGGUGUGAUACAGGUGUGAGAGACACGAUAAGAUACAGGUGAUACACAGGGAACAGCUGACACAGGUAAGUCCCAAAACUCCCCCCAAAAUCCCCCCUGGGACCCCCAAAAUCCCCUUUGGGACCC
This is a long non-coding RNA of Poecile atricapillus (Black-capped chickadee), 474 nucleotides long. RefSeq lists it as uncharacterized. The record is from RefSeq and is a predicted model, not a curated record. NCBI's taxonomy places the organism in Eukaryota, Metazoa, Chordata, Aves, Passeriformes, Paridae. The transcript is spliced from 5 exons.